Molecule: long non-coding RNA, 2607 nt
Organism: Anolis carolinensis (green anole)
Lineage: Eukaryota; Metazoa; Chordata; Lepidosauria; Squamata; Anolidae
Exons: 2
Source: RefSeq, a predicted model, not a curated record
UUCAGCCUAAGCAACUUAGAAAGUCUUGGGGAGGAAUUCUCACUGUCUGGCUUGUGAGGCCCCAACAGAGCUGAUCUGCAGCUGUUAUUUUAGCCUAAAAUCUGAAGCAAAUGGCCUCUGCUUAUUAGAUGAAAGGAUGAAUCAGGACUGCAUAAAUAAGAAUGACUUCUAAAGAGCUAUCACUCAUCAGAGAUUGUACAGAUAGUUUGUCUCACUCACUCUUCAAUAGGCAUUGCAGAUCCUUCAACAUUAUAACACACCUAUUUGAUGUCUCCAGAAUAUCAUUGAUGGGUAAGGUGGCUGGACACACAGGGGACGGAGCUCCUGAAGUUUUAAUAUGGUAUUUAUACGUCGAGGGCAUGUCAAGGGCAGGUUUUGAGACUAAAAUUAUGGAUUUUGAGAUGACUCAUCAUUAAGUCGAAGGUCAUUCUAUGGAAAUAGGAAAGUGCCAGUGCUGUAUCAAUGGGCAGUCCCCCAUUGGCCACAAUUUUUUGACCAGGCAUUAAAAACAGAAGCAGCACUAUGGCAGAGAGAAUAGAUGGGUCAAUGCUUCCUUUAGGCCCUCCCAGGACAGACAAAGCUCUAACACAGUGGUUUUCAACCUGUAGGUCCCCAGGUGUUUUGGCCUACAACUCCCAGAAAUCCCAGCCAGUUUACCAGCUGUUAGGAUUUCUGGGAGUUGAAGGCCAAAACAUCUGGGGACCCACAAAUUGAGAACCACUGCUCUAACAUUCAACAACUCUACUUGGAGAAAGUUCCUUUUUAAAUAUAAGAUUUAAGGUACAGUACUUAUACUGACCCAUGGAUUUGUCAACCUAGUUUUUUCAGUUGAUUUUUUGACUGUCAUUUCUAGACUGACACACUAGCCGAACUGGUGGCAUUUCAGCAAAUCCCAUUCUUCCUAGCCCUGUCAAAAUGUCCAGUUCUACAUAGCUGUUCAUGUUAUAGCUGCCUUGUCUUCCUUCACAUCUGAUCCCAUUACACAUCAUGUUUAUGAUAAUGGAGCAAGCAAUAGGGAACAUAUUCUGUAUAUAGUGGGAAGACAUUGUUCCCCAUACUUGGCCCAAUAAUCACCCAAGGACUCUUCCUGAGAAUAUUUCUAUAAUACCAGAACCAAUUACCAGUAGUUUAUACUGUGUGUUAUUUGAGGACACCAUCUGGAAGUAAAAAGAAGGCUACAAAUUAGCAGUCCAUAAAUGGUACUGAAAUAGCUGAAACCAGGAAUGGAAAUAUUCCACAUAUUUUGAGCCCCCAAAAUUGUAUGCAACCUGGCUCACUGCCAGAUUUUGCUUGGAUCGGCACCACUUCAUUUCAUUUGACUAAGCAGCAAGUUCUCUCCCAAAUGCUGAUGGAUAAAUAUUAUUAAAAAGGGAGAGAUGAAGGAACCUGGAGUCCUUCUUCUUGUAGGAAAAAGCAAGCGAAUCAUGUCCUGCAGAUAAAAAGGCUAAAACUGGAAAUUUGGGAGCAGAUUAUAUAUAAAGACAGAAAGCAGACUAAAACUCAGGAUACAAGAUACUUUAGGGAAUAACAUACAAUACAAGCGACAUGUCAAAAGUAUGCAUCAAUAAAGGAAAGGCCCAAACCCUGUUUGUACCAGUAACAUAUUAGUAUACACACAUGUUCUCUACAGAUGUUGUUUUUUUCUAGUUUUAUCCUCCUCUACUAAGUGCCUUGACGUGAAAUAGUUUCAAUUCAAAAUGCAAGCAUUGACCUUUAAAGCCAUGAGAAAUUUCGAAAUGGGACCAGGUUAUCUGAAGGAUUGUAUACAUUGAUGAACCUGCAUAACAAGAAUAUGAACCUGCCCAGACCCUGGGAGUAAUAUCAGAGACAAAUUUCUCAUCCAGAUUUUAUUUCACUUUGCUUCUACAAAGUGUCAGUGAACACAGUAAUUGUUUUGAGUUACUUUUCCUUUUUAAAAUUUUUGGUUGAUGUACUGCAAAGAUGUUUCUCUGUUUGUGUGAGCCCAUAUAACUUUGCAAAUAAUGCCUCAUGGUUGUUAUUGUGUGCCUUCAACUCAUUUCUGACUUAUGGUGACUCUUUCACAGGUAUGGUAGGAUUUUCCCUUUGUUCAGAAUGAGUUUGCCUUCUCUCAGAGGCAGGAAGAGUGAUUUGCUUGACAUCACUUAAUGAGUUUCCAUGGCCAAAUGGAGAUUUGAACCCUGGUUUUCAGUCAUAGUCCAUCAAAAGAUGUGAGAUCCAAAGCAGAACACAUGACUAAGACCUAGAGGAAAGGGGAACAACAGGAGGAAGAGAAAAACACCUGGGGAAAAUGGAAGAAAAUAUGUUUUUUUAAAACCUAAGUAAGACCUACUUUCCAGAACACAUUUGGGUUGUCUAAAGGUUGGCAGCUACCACAACAAGAAAAAAGACUCUGAGGCUUAUCGAAAAAUAAUAUAUUCACAUGGUUCCUAUUUUGUGAUUUUUUAAAAUAACCUCCAAAUCAUAUUUUCUGCCUAUGUUCUUUUCUCUCUCUAAUGUGAUUUUAUUUAUUGACUAUUUCCCAUUUAUAUUUUCCUGCUGCUGAUAUUAAUCCAGUUAUAUGAAAACUCAUACAAUCUAACCUGCAUGUCUUGCUUGAAAGUCCAAUUAAAAAAUAUAUUAACCUUA